UACGUAGGGCGCAAGCGUUGUCCGGAAUUACUGGGCGUAAAGCGUGCGCAGGCGGUUUUGUAAGUCUGUCGUGAAAGCCCCGGGCUCAACCUGGGAAUUGCGAUGGAGACUGCAAGGCUUGAAUCUGGCAGAGGGGGGUAGAAUUCCACGUGUAGCAGUGAAAUGCGUAGAGAUGUGGAGGAACACCGAUGGCGAAGGCAGCCCCCUGGGUCAAGAUUGACGCUCAUGCACGAAAGCGUGGGGAGCAAACAGG
Molecule: ribosomal RNA, 253 nt
Filed under: uncultured bacterium
Lineage: Bacteria
Description: partial 16S ribosomal RNA
Rfam family: Bacterial small subunit ribosomal RNA
Source: RNAcentral